UCCUCCAUAGCUCAGUGGUUAGAGCGUCCAACCGGCACCUGGAAGGUCAUGGGUUCAAUUCCGUUGGGGGAG
Molecule: transfer RNA, 72 nt
Filed under: Desmophyllum pertusum
Lineage: Eukaryota; Metazoa; Cnidaria; Anthozoa; Scleractinia; Caryophylliidae
Description: Lophelia pertusa tRNA
Rfam family: tRNA
About the family: Transfer RNA (tRNA) molecules are approximately 80 nucleotides in length. Their secondary structure includes four short double-helical elements and three loops (D, anti-codon, and T loops).
Source: Rfam by way of RNAcentral